RNAcentral lists this ribosomal RNA (688 nucleotides) under uncultured bacterium. RNAcentral's name for it is "bacterial SSU rRNA". It matches the Rfam family "Bacterial small subunit ribosomal RNA", at positions 61 to 749 of the family's 1533-position model. The record is from RNAcentral.
GUCGAGGGGUAAACGGUAGCAAUACUAUGAGACCGGCGGACGGGUGCGUAACGCGUAUGCAACAUACCUUGUGCAGGGGGAUAGCCCGUGGAAACGCGGAUUAAUAUUCCAUAGUCCAGCUAUAUCGCAUGGUAUAGUUGGUAAAGAUUUAUCGGCACAAGUUUGGCAUGCGUCUGAUUAGCUUGUUGGUAGGGUAACGGCCUACCAAGGCUACGAUCAGUAGGGGUUCUGAGAGGAUUAACCCCCACACUGGUACUGAGACACGGACCAGACUCCUACGGGAGGCAGCAGUGAGGAAUAUUGGUCAAUGGGCGGAAGCCUGAACCAGCCAUCCCGCGUGAAGGAAGACAGCCUUACGGGUUGUAAACUUCUUUUCUGUCAGAAGAAUAAGCUUGUCGAGACGAGUGAUGCCGGUAUGACAGGAAUAAGCAUCGGCUAACUCCGUGCCAGCAGCCGCGGUAAUACGGAGGAUGCAAGCGUUAUCCGGAUUUAUUGGGUUUAAAGGGUGCGCAGGUUGUUUGAUAAGUCAGUGGUGAAAGUCUGUCGCUUAACGGUAGGAUUGCCAUUGAUACUGUUGGACUUGAAUAUGGAUGAGGUAGGCGGAAUGUGUAGUGUAGCGGUGAAAUGCAUAGAUAUUACACAGAACACCGAUUGCGAAGGCAGCUUACUAAUCCAUCAUUGACGCUGA